This is a long non-coding RNA of Trematomus bernacchii (emerald rockcod), 759 nucleotides long. RefSeq lists it as uncharacterized. The transcript is spliced from 3 exons. The record is from RefSeq and is a predicted model, not a curated record. Lineage: Eukaryota; Metazoa; Chordata; Actinopteri; Perciformes; Nototheniidae.
UAUAUAUAAACACUAGAUGGCUCAUGGGAGAUUUUCCAGCGUAGCUCACUGGCCGCCAUCUUGCUACAGUCAACAGCUACUCUGGUACGCGCUAUGGUAGCUGUUGUAAGGUGAGUGAUCUGCACAAAAAUACUCUUAACUCGCUGAAAUCUUGACUGAUUUACAAACGGUUUGGUUUAUUAUAAACAUUAUUAGCAUGGCUAUGAUACAGGAUGCUUGGACAUGUUGAAAUAGCAGCUUUUCUUUGUGUAUGUGUGGUUGUAUUUAUUAGCUGGCUAAUAACAAGAGGCUGUGAGUGAGACCUAGUAUUACAAAGUUGACCAAGAACCCGUGGAAUCACCUUUCACGUGUUUCCCAAAACCGGAGAGAGGAGGAGGCAGUGGGAAGUUGCCCUAAGAAGGCAGGACACUGCUCUGCAGUGAGCACUUUAGUUGUGAGGACUUUGACAGGACGGGGCAGACUGUCCGGCUUAAAGAUGGUGUUGUGCCAACAGUAUUCAACUUCCCAGCUCAUCUUCAAAGGCCGGAAGCAACAAGAAGCACAACCACUUCAAGAAGAGCGGAAGAUGAACCUCAGCCUAAUGUUGUGAGUAUUCUGAAUGUGGCCAAGACCAGAGAGAUGGUCAUUGAUUUCAGGAGGGUGAGGACGUCUCCUCCUCUACCCCUGUGCAUUCUGGGAGAGGAUGUGGCUGUUGUGGAGGACUACAAAUACCUGGGAGUGCACUUAGACAAUGGGCUGAACUGGAGGAUCAACACUGAC